This is a non-coding RNA of Poecilia latipinna (sailfin molly), 523 nucleotides long. NCBI's taxonomy places the organism in Eukaryota, Metazoa, Chordata, Actinopteri, Cyprinodontiformes, Poeciliidae. The record is from the annotation of a RefSeq genome assembly.
CACAUGGAGGAGAAGUCUGGAAAGCUGCUGAUUGUUCUCCUUUAAUCAAUCAUCUCUAUUGAUCCAUCUCUUCCUCUGCAUGUUCUGUUCUUCCCCAGAGUGUAAAGGAGACUCAGUGACGCAGACAGAAAGAGAAGUUGUUGCUGCUGCAGGAGAAACUCGGACUCUGGGAUGUACCUUUGAAGCCAGUGGUACAAAUUAUGCCUUGUUCUGGUAUAAACAAGAAGAAAACAGUUUCCCAAAGUACAUGUUGAAGCAGCUGUCAUCAAUGAAAGAUAAAGCUCCAGAGUUCAACAGCAGCAGAUUUGAUGCUGACCUCAAUAAAGACGACAAAUCCUUCAACCUGAAGAUCCAGGAUCUCCGUCCGUCAGACUCUGCUGUGUACUACUGCGCUCUGCAGCCCACAGUGACAGGAAACACCAGAACCCUGUGCAAAAACCUGCAGUACUCCACAGCGGCCACUAGAGGGCCUCACUCCCUGUUAAUCCACUAAAACCUGCAGUACUCCACAGCGGCCACUAGA